RNAcentral lists this ribosomal RNA (486 nucleotides) under uncultured bacterium. Its description in RNAcentral is "bacterial SSU rRNA". It matches the Rfam family "Bacterial small subunit ribosomal RNA", at positions 28 to 507 of the family's 1533-position model. The record is from RNAcentral.
GAUGAACGCUAGCGGGAGGCUUAACACAUGCAAGUCGAGGGGCAGCAUAGGGUAGCAAUACUCUGAUGGCGACCGGCAAACGGGUGAGUAACGCGUAUGCAACCUACCCUGUACAGGGGGAUAACCCGGAGAAAUUCGGACUAAUAUCCCGUAAUAAUAUCCGGAGGCAUCUUUGGAUAUUUAAAGUUCCGACGGUACGGGAUGGGCAUGCGUAACAUUAACUGGUUGGUAAGGUAACGGCUUACCAAGGCUAUGAUGUUUAGGGGUCCUGAGAGGGUGGUCCCCCACACUGGUACUGAGACACGGACCAGACUCCUACGGGAGGCAGCAGUGAGGAAUAUUGGUCAAUGGGCGCAAGCCUGAACCAGCCAUCCCGCGUGCAGGAAGACGGCCCUAUGGGUUGUAAACUGCUUUUCCAGGGAGAGAAACUUACGCACGUGUUGCGUGACUGACGGUACCUGGGAAUAAGCAUCGGCUAACUCCGUG